RNAcentral lists this ribosomal RNA (607 nucleotides) under uncultured bacterium. Its description in RNAcentral is "bacterial SSU rRNA". It matches the Rfam family "Bacterial small subunit ribosomal RNA", at positions 116 to 719 of the family's 1533-position model. The record is from RNAcentral.
CCUAGGAAUCUGCCUGGUAGUGGGGGAUAACGUUCGGAAACGGACGCUAAUACCGCAUACGUCCUACGGGAGAAAGCAGGGGACCUUCGGGCCUUGCGCUAUCAGAUGAGCCUAGGUCGGAUUAGCUAGUUGGUGGGGUAAUGGCUCACCAAGGCGACGAUCCGUAACUGGUCUGAGAGGAUGAUCAGUCACACUGGAACUGAGACACGGUCCAGACUCCUACGGGAGGCAGCAGUGGGGAAUAUUGGACAAUGGGCGAAAGCCUGAUCCAGCCAUGCCGCGUGUGUGAAGAAGGUCUUCGGAUUGUAAAGCACUUUAAGUUGGGAGGAAGGGUUGUAGAUUAAUACUCUGCAAUUUUGACGUUACCGACAGAAUAAGCACCGGCUAACUCUGUGCCAGCAGCCGCGGUAAUACAGAGGGUGCAAGCGUUAAUCGGAAUUACUGGGCGUAAAGCGCGCGUAGGUGGUUUGUUAAGUUGGAUGUGAAAUCCCCGGGCUCAACCUGGGAACUGCAUUCAAAACUGACUGACUAGAGUAUGGUAGAGGGUGGUGGAAUUUCCUGUGUAGCGGUGAAAUGCGUAGAUAUAGGAAGGAACACCAGUGGCGAA